CACGCCCUACGUCGGGUUAAGUGGGGUCCCUCGCCAGCUCCGCACUGAUCAUACGCCAUGUGGCACUCUGGCGCGUGGCCGGGCCUGUGUGCGCUGAGGCUGCUGAGUGGCGGACAUGCACACCACAGAGCGUGGCGAUGGAACAGUAACUGGGCUUGUGAGAGGGCUCUACAGUAUCAACUAGGAGACAAGAUCCACGGAUUCACUGUAAACCAGUGACAUCUGUUCCCGAGCUGUUCCUGACGGCAGUGAAGCUCAGCCAUGAUGACACAGGAGCCAGGUAUUUACACCUGGCCAGAGAAGACACGAAUAAUCUGUUCGAGUACAUGGUACAUUUUAGGAACAUGGUCUUGAAUGUUUUAUUUAAAUCAGGGAUGUCCAAUCUUUUGGCUUCCCUGUGCCACAAUGGAAGAACAGCUGUCUUAGGCCACACAUAAAAUACACCAACACUAAGGACAGUUGGUGAGUUAAAAUUAUAAAUAAAGGACCUCAAUGUUUUAAGAAAGUGUAGGGAUUGCGUUGGGCUGCAUUCCAGGUCGUCCUGAGCAUGCGGACUGCAGGCUGUGGGUUAGAUAAGCUUGAUGUAAAGCACUGACUGUACAUUACGUGGUUAAAAUACCAUCUCACUAGUAUUUUUAUUGACAGAGCAUCUUGAAAAAUAAGGAAAAGCUUACACGGACUUACAGUCUCAUCAAAAUACAAUUUUAUAGUCUGAAUCAAUGAUUUACAUUAGAGUUGGGAAACUGUGUGUCAGAGGAUUGUGGUGUCAGAAUGAUGAUUUCUAGUAGCCUGAGGUGAUGAUGCAUCUGGGAACUGUGUCC
Long non-coding RNA from Piliocolobus tephrosceles (Ugandan red Colobus), 821 nucleotides. RefSeq lists it as uncharacterized. The transcript is spliced from 3 exons. The record is from RefSeq and is a predicted model, not a curated record. NCBI's taxonomy places the organism in Eukaryota, Metazoa, Chordata, Mammalia, Primates, Cercopithecidae.